GACGAACGCUGGCGGCGUGCUUAACACAUGCAAGUCGAACGGAAAGGCCUGCUUUCCCUUGUGGAUUGCGGGUACUCGAGUGGCGAACGGGUGAGUAACACGUGAGUGAUCUGCCCCAAACUUGGGUAUAAGCCUGGGAAACUGGGUCUAAUUCCCGAUAGGACUGCAGGGUGGUGCCUGUGGUGGAAAACGAUUUUCUAGUGGUUGGGGAUGGGCUCGCGGCCUAUCAGCUUGUUGGUGGGGUAAUGGCCUACCAAGGCGGCGACGGGUAGCCGGCCUGAGAGGGUGGACGGCCACAUUGGGACUGAGAUACGGCCCAGACUCCUACGGGAGGCAGCAGUGGGGAAUAUUGCACAAUGGGCGGAAGCCUGAUGCAGCGACGCCGCGUGGGGGAUGACGGCCUUCGGGUUGUAAACUCCUUUCGACCGCGAGGAAGCCACCUGGUUGGAAGGGUGGUGACGGUAGUGGUAGAAGAAGCACCGGCUAACUACGUG
This 494-nucleotide ribosomal RNA is filed under the name uncultured bacterium. Its description in RNAcentral is "partial 16S ribosomal RNA". It matches the Rfam family "Bacterial small subunit ribosomal RNA", at positions 28 to 507 of the family's 1533-position model. The record is from RNAcentral.